GGAGUUAGCCGGUGCUUCUUCUGCGAGUAACGUCACAGAUGUAAGGUAUUAACUUACACCCUUUCCUCCUCGCUGAAAGUGCUUUACAACCCGAAGGCCUUCUUCACACACGCGGCAUGGCUGCAUCAGGGUUUCCCCCAUUGUGCAAUAUUCCCCACUGCUGCCUCCCGUAGGAGUCUGGGCCGUGUCUCAGUCCCAGUGUGGCUGAUCAUCCUCUCAGACCAGCUAGGGAUCGUCGCCUAGGUGAGCCUUUACCUCACCUACUAGCUAAUCCCACCUGGGCUUAUCCAUCAGCGCAAGGCCCGAAGGUCCCCUGCUUUCCCCCGUAGGGCGUAUGCGGUAUUAGCAGUCGUUUCCAACUGUUAUCCCCCACAAAUGGGCAAAUUCCCAGGCAUUACUCACCCGUCCGCCGCUCGUCAUCUUCAAAAGCAAGCUUUUGAAAUGUUACCGCUCGACUUGCAUGUGUUAGGCCUGCCGCCAGCGUUCAAUCUGAGCCANAGANACCAAGUCUGACUCGGGACUCGGGGCUAGGGCCGAACGGACG
This 544-nucleotide ribosomal RNA is filed under the name uncultured bacterium. RNAcentral's name for it is "partial 16S ribosomal RNA". The record is from RNAcentral.